RNAcentral lists this ribosomal RNA (406 nucleotides) under uncultured bacterium. Its description in RNAcentral is "partial 16S ribosomal RNA". It matches the Rfam family "Bacterial small subunit ribosomal RNA", at positions 30 to 526 of the family's 1533-position model. The record is from RNAcentral.
AUUGAACGCUGGCGGCAGGCCUAACACAUGCAAGUCGAACGAGUGGCGGACGGGUGAGUAAUGUCUGGGAAACUGCCCGAUGGAGGGGGAUAACUACUGGAAACGUUAGCUAAUCCCGCAUACCAUCGGAUGUGCCCCGAUGGGAUUAGCUAGUGGGUGGGGUAACGGCUCACCUAGGCGACGAUCCGUAGCUGGUCUGAGAGGAUGACCAGCCACACUGGGACUGAGACACGGUCCAGACUCCUACGGGAGGCAGCAGUGGGGAAUAUUGCACAAUGGGGGCAAGCCUGAUGCAGCCAUGCCGAGUGUAUGAAGAAGGCCUUCGGGGUGUAAAGUACUUUCAGCGAGGAGGCGUUACUCGCAGAAGAAGCACCGGCUAACUCCGUGCCAGCCGCCGCGGUAAUAC